CCUACGGGAGGCAGCAGUGAGGAAUAUUGGUCAAUGGACGCGAGUCUGAACCAGCCAAGUAGCGUGAAGGAUGACUGCCCUAUGGGUUGUAAACUUCUUUUAUAAGGGGAUAAAACGAGGCACGUGUGCCUUUUUGCAUGUACUUUAUGAAUAAGGAUCGGCUAACUCCGUGCCAGCAGCCGCGGUAAUACGGAGGAUCCGAGCGUUAUCCGGAUUUAUUGGGUUUAAAGGGAGCGUAGAUGGGUUGUUAAGUCAGUUGUGAAAGUUUGCGGCUCAACCGUAAAAUUGCAAUUGAUACUGGCAGUCUUGAGUACAGUUGAGGUAGGCGGAAUGUGUGGUGUAGCGGUGAAAUGCUUAGAUAUCACGAAGAACCCCGAUUGCGAAGGCAGCUUACUAAACUGUGACUGACAUUGAUGCUCGAAAGUGUGGGUAGCAAACAGGAUUAGAUACCCGAGUAGUC
This 460-nucleotide ribosomal RNA is filed under the name uncultured bacterium. Its description in RNAcentral is "partial 16S ribosomal RNA". It matches the Rfam family "Bacterial small subunit ribosomal RNA", at positions 338 to 795 of the family's 1533-position model. The record is from RNAcentral.